AUUGAACGCUGGCGGAAUGCUUUACACAUGCAAGUCGCACGGCAGCACGGACUUCGGUCUGGUGGCGAGUGGCGAACGGGGGAGUAAUGUAUCGGAACGUGCCUAGCCUUGGGGGAUAACGAUGAGAAAAUUACACCAAUACCGCAUACGAUCAUCGGUCGAACAAGGGAGAACGCAAGACCUAGACCGAUGGGAGCGGCCGUUAUCAGAUUAGGUAGUUGGUGGGGUAAAGGUCCACCAAGCCAACGAUGUGUAGCUGGUCUGAGAGGACGAACAGCCACACCGGAACUGAGACAGGGUCCAGACUCCUACGGGAGGCAGCAGUGGGGAAUUUUGGGCAAUGGGCGAAAGCCUGAUCCAGCAAUUCCGCGUGCAGGAUGAAGGCCCUCGGGUUGUAAACUGCUUUUGUACAGAACGAAAAGGUUUCUACUAAUACGAGGAGCUCAUGACGGUACUGUAAGAAUAAGCACCGGCUAACUACGUGCCAGCAGCCGCAGUAA
This 500-nucleotide ribosomal RNA is filed under the name uncultured bacterium. Its description in RNAcentral is "partial 16S ribosomal RNA". It matches the Rfam family "Bacterial small subunit ribosomal RNA", at positions 30 to 523 of the family's 1533-position model. The record is from RNAcentral.